AGCGGCAACAGCUCAAAUUUGAAAUCUGGCCCUCGGGUCCGAGUUGUAAUUUGUAGAGGAUGCUUUUGGCGAGGUGCCUUCCGAGUUCCCUGGAACGGGACGCCAUAGAGGGUGAGAGCCCCGUCUGGUCGGACACCGAGCCUCUGUAAAGCUCCUUCGACGAGUCGAGUAGUUUGGGAAUGCUGCUCAAAAUGGGAGGUAUAUGUCUUCUAAAGCUAAAUAUUGGCCAGAGACCGAUAGCGCACAAGUAGAGUGAUCGAAAGAUGAAAAGCACUUUGAAAAGAGGGUUAAAAAGUACGUGAAAUUGUUGAAAGGGAAGCGCUUAUGACCAGACUUGCGCCCGGUGAAUCAUCCAGCGUUCUCGCUGGUGCACUUUGCCGGGCACAGGCCAGCAUCAGUUUGGCGCGGGGGAAAAAGGCUUCGGGAAUGUGGCUCCCUCGGGAGUGUUAUAGCCCGCUGCGUAAUACCCUGCGCCGGACUGAGGUACGCGCAUCGCAAGGAUGCUGGCGUAAUGGUCAUCAGCGACCCGUCUUGAAACACGGACCAAGGAGUCGUCUUCGUAUGCGAGUGUUCGGGUGUCAAACCCCUACGCGUAAUGAAAGUGAACGUAGGUGAGAGCUUCGGCGCAUCAUCGACCGAUCCUGAUGUUCUCGGAUGGAUUUGAGUAAGAGCAUACGGGGCCGGACCCGAAAGAA
This 695-nucleotide unclassified non-coding RNA is filed under the name Beauveria bassiana. RNAcentral describes it as "sequence contains 28S rRNA gene". It matches the Rfam family "Eukaryotic large subunit ribosomal RNA", at positions 97 to 824 of the family's 3401-position model. Lineage: Eukaryota; Fungi; Ascomycota; Sordariomycetes; Hypocreales; Cordycipitaceae. The record is from RNAcentral.